This 164-nucleotide small nuclear RNA is filed under the name Numida meleagris (helmeted guineafowl). RNAcentral's name for it is "U1 spliceosomal RNA (ENSNMEG00000002854.1)". It matches the Rfam family "U1 spliceosomal RNA". From Rfam's summary of the family: U1 is a small nuclear RNA (snRNA) component of the spliceosome (involved in pre-mRNA splicing). Lineage: Eukaryota; Metazoa; Chordata; Aves; Galliformes; Numididae. The record is from RNAcentral.
AUACUUACCUGGCAGGGGAGACACCGUGGUCAGGCAGGUGGUCCUCCCAGGGUGAGGCUCAUCCCCUGCAUUCUGGGUGUGCUGACGCCUGCAAUUUCCCCCAGGAUGGGAAACUGGACUGCACCAUUUGUGGUAGUGGGGGACUGCAUUUGUGCUCUCCCAUU